UACGUAGGGGGCUAGCGUUGUCCGGAAUCAUUGGGCGUAAAGGGCGUGUAGGCGGUCCGGUAAGUCCGCUGUGAAAGUCGGGGGCUCAACCUUCGAAUGCCGGUGGAUACUGUCGGGCUAGAGUGCGGAAGAGGCGAGUGGAAUUCCUGGUGUAGCGGUGAAAUGCGCAGAUAUUGGGAGGAACACCAGUGGCGAAGGCGGCUCGCUGGACCGAUACUGACGCUGAGGCGCGAAAGCGUGGGGAGCAAACAGG
Molecule: ribosomal RNA, 253 nt
Filed under: uncultured bacterium
Lineage: Bacteria
Description: partial 16S ribosomal RNA
Rfam family: Bacterial small subunit ribosomal RNA
Source: RNAcentral